UUCCAGACUCCUCGGGAGGCAGCAGUGAGGAAUAUUGGUCAAUGGGCGCGAGCCUGAACCAGCCAAGUCGCGUGAGGGAAGACGGUCCUAUGGAUUGUAAACCUCUUUUGUCGGGGAGCAAAAGACGCCACGCGUGGCGUUCCGAGAGUACCCGAAGAAAAAGCAUCGGCUAACUCCGUGCCAGCAGCCGCGGUAAUACGGAGGAUGCGAGCGUUAUCCGGAUUUAUUGGGUUUAAAGGGUGCGUAGGCGGGACGUUAAGUCAGCGGUAAAAAGGCGGAGCUCAACUCCGUCGAGCCGUUGAAACUGCCGUUCUUGAGUGAGCGAGAAGUAUGCGGAAUGCGUGGUGUAGCGGUGAAAUGCAUAGAUAUCACGCAGAACUCCGAUUGCGAAGGCAGCAUACCGGCGCUCAACUGACGCUGAAGCACGAAGGCGUGGGUAUCGAACAGGAUUAGAUACCCGAGUA
Molecule: ribosomal RNA, 464 nt
Filed under: uncultured bacterium
Lineage: Bacteria
Description: bacterial SSU rRNA
Rfam family: Bacterial small subunit ribosomal RNA
Source: RNAcentral